AUUGAACGCUGGCGGCAUGCCUUACACAUGCAAGUCGAACGGCAGCACGGGCGAUUGCACCUGGUUGAGAGUGGCGAACGGGUGAGUAAUACAUCGGAACAUGUCCUGUAGUGGGGGAAAGCCCGGCGAAAGCCGGAUUAAUACCGCAUACGAUCUACGGAUGAAAGCGGGGGACCUUCGGACCUCGCGAUAUCGGGUUGGCCGAUGGCUGAUUAGCUAGUUGGUGGGGUAAAGGCCUACCAAGGCCACGAUCAGUAGCCGGUCUGUGAGGACGACCAGCCACACUGGAACGGAGACACGGCCCAGACUCCUACGGGAGGCAGCAGUGGGGAAUUGUGGACAAUGGGCGGAAGCCUGGUCCAACAAUGCCGCGUGUGUGAAGAAGGCCUUCGGGUUGUAAAGCUCUUUUGUCCGGAAAAAAAACCUUGGCCCUAAUACGGUCGGGGGAUGACGGUACCGGAAGAAUAAGCACCGGCUAACUACGUG
This 486-nucleotide ribosomal RNA is filed under the name uncultured bacterium. Its description in RNAcentral is "partial 16S ribosomal RNA". It matches the Rfam family "Bacterial small subunit ribosomal RNA", at positions 30 to 507 of the family's 1533-position model. The record is from RNAcentral.